This 1325-nucleotide ribosomal RNA is filed under the name metagenome. Its description in RNAcentral is "bacterial LSU rRNA". It matches the Rfam family "Bacterial large subunit ribosomal RNA", at positions 1561 to 2925 of the family's 2925-position model. The record is from RNAcentral.
AGUGGAUGGGGAGCAACCUAGUUGUGCGUGUGUAAAGGUAGUGCCAAGAAAAGCGAUGAUCAUGUUGAAAAUCAAUUCCCGGUACCCGAAACCGACACAGGUGGGCAAGUAGAGAAUACUAAGGGGCGCGAGGUAACUCUCUCCAAGGAACUCGGCAAAAUGACCCCGUAACUUAGGGAGAAGGGGUGCCACCGAGAGGUGGUCGCAGUGAAGAGGCCCAGGCGACUGUUUAGCAAAAACAUAGGUCUCUGCAAACUCGAAAGAGGAGGUAUAGGGGCUGACGCCUGCCCAGUGCCGGAAGGUUAAAGAAGUUGGUCAGUUUUAGGAUGAAGCUAGCGACUGAAGCCCCGGUGAACGGCGGCCGUAACUAUAACGGUCCUAAGGUAGCGAAAUUCCUUGUCGGGUAAGUUCCGACCCGCACGAAAGGCGUAACGAUCUGGGCGCUGUCUCGGAGAGAGGCUCGGCGAAAUAGGAUUGUCUGUGAAGAUACGGACUACCUGCAUUUGGACAGAAAGACCCUAUGAAGCUUUACUAUAGCUUGGAAUUGUGUUCGGGCUUCCUGUGCGCAGGAUAGGUGGGAGGCGUAGAAGGUAUUCUUGUGGGGAUACUGGAGCCAACGGUGAGAUACCACUCUCAGGAGGCUAGAAUUCUAACUUAAUUAAGGACAGUUUCAGGUGGGUAGUUUGACUGGGGCGGUCGCCUCCAAAAAGGUAACGGAGGCGUACAAAGGUUCCCUCAGACUGGUUGGAAAUCAGUCGAAGAGUGCAAAGGCAGAAGGGAGCUUGACUGCGAGAAGUACAGUUCGAGCAGGGUGGAAACACGGUCUUAGUGAUCCGACGGUGCUGUGUGGAAGGGCCGUCGCUCAACGGAUAAAAGUUACUCUAGGAUAACAGGCUGAUCUCCCCCAAGAGUUCACAUCGACGGGGAGGUUUGGCACCUCGAUGUCGGCUCACCGCAACCUGGGGCGGAAGUACGUCCCAAGGGUUGGGCUGUUCGCCCAUUAAAGCGGUACGUGAGCUGGGUUCAGAACGUCGUGAGACAGUUCGGUCCAUAUCCGAUGUAGGCGUGAGAAUAUUGAGAGGAGCCUUCCUUAGUACGAGAGGACCGGGAAGGACGCACCGCUGGUGUACCUGUUAUGAUGCCAAUUGUAAACGCAGGGUAGCCAAGUGCGGAGAGGAUAACCGCUGAAAGCAUCUAAGUGGGAAGCCCACCUCAAGAUGAGUAUUCUGGUGUAAGGUCACGGGAAGACGACCCGUAAAUAGGCACGAGGUGGAAGUGCAGAGAUGUAUGAAGCCGAAGUGUACUAAUAGACCGUCGGCUUGAGC